UAUUUCACAAUGGGCGCAAGCCUGAUGCAGCAACGCCGCGUGAGCGAAGAAGGGCUUCGGGUCGUAAAGCUCUGUCCUUGAGGAAGAAGGAAGUGACGGUACUCAAGGCGGAAGCCCCGGCUAACUACGUGCCAGCAGCCGCGGUAAUACGUAGGGGGCAAGCGUUAUCCGGAAUUAUUGGGCGUAAAGAGUACGUAGGUGGUUUUGUAAGAGCGGGGUGAAAGGCAGUGGCAUAACCAUUGGAAGCCUUGCGAACUGCAAGACUUGAGUGCAGGAGAGGAAAGCGGAAUUCCUAGUGUAGCGGUGAAAUGCUUAGAUAUUAGGAGGAACACCAGUGGCGAAGGCGGCUUUCUGGACUGUAACUGACACUGAGGUACGAAAGCGUGGGGAGCAAACAG
This 398-nucleotide ribosomal RNA is filed under the name uncultured bacterium. RNAcentral's name for it is "bacterial SSU rRNA". It matches the Rfam family "Bacterial small subunit ribosomal RNA", at positions 362 to 775 of the family's 1533-position model. The record is from RNAcentral.